GGAUUUUUGGACCAAACCUUAGCAUUCAUUUGAGUAGGGUAAAGUUGAAAAUGAAAACAAAACAAGCACAGUAUGGGGAAAUAUAUUUAUUUAACAAAGUGGCAGAUAUUUUGUGAUCUAAGAAUAGGACAUCUUUGUAAUGAGGCUAGUUUUUAUCUCAUCUCAGGAGGAGUUCAAAUCAAUCAACGCUGGGGCAUAAAUCAUUUUCUGAACCUGUCUGUCUGUCUAUGUAGAAUAUAUUAACACUGUUUGCACUAUUGUCCACUGCAUCGUCACUGUAUUGUCCACUGCAUCGUCGACGCGAUCGUCCGUUGCCAGGCAACGGACGACGCGAUCAUCUGUUGCCAGGCAGGUUUGGAAUGGAUUACGUAUGGAUGACGUGCCCGGUACAAAUUUGGCAACCGGUACAAACUUGGCAACCGGUACAAAUUUGGCGUGACAGCGGCAUGGAAAUCUACACUUCAGGAAAUGCAGAGGACUACUGUGUGGUGUGCUCCUUUGCUGAAAAAAUGCAGAUGAGAGCAUGUUUGAAAUGGUGCAGUGUUAAUUGUGCAGUCGAUGGGCACAUUUUGAGUGCCCAAUAUGGCCAUGACAAUAGCGCUGUAUAUGUCUGCAUGAAAUGCCUCAAAAUAAAAUUAUGAUUUCAGAACUUUGGUUGUUUUUAUUAUUGGAUCUUUUGAAUAAUUAUUAUUUAUGCAUAUAAACAUACAGAAUCCCAUUCAGAAAUAUAGACAAGUUUUAACCAUACUUUGCUACACUUUUGUUGAAGUUAUUAAUUUAGACAAUUGAUUAUUGAUGUUUUUCUUUAAGUGCUUUUUUCUUACAUGACAUACAUUGCACAUACUGUACUCCUGACAUUUCCAAUAUAUACGUUAUAAUACAGCAUCAACAAUGUACAUGGGGUGAGUAAUGGCCCCAACUACAGUCUCGUUGUGGAAAUACCAGAGAUGUCAAAGAACCAACGUGUUAUGCACAAUUACACCAACAGCAGAACGUUUAUCCAAAUAACAAAGAAGUGUACAAGACUUGCGUUACAGUGUGCGUCAUGGUCAGCCCCUGGUUUUCCCAUUCACCUGCCUGCCACCCUGAUCUCCCCUAAUUAACCCAACCACCUUCACCUGUGCUCCCUCUAUAUAAAUCCUCUCUCUCCACUCAGUCUCUGCCAGAUCAUCUCUCAAUACUCACAGAGCUUUCCCGCGACUCCAGAAAUGUUUCUCCAACGCUGAUCCUGCCUGUUACCGAACCCUCGCCUUUCGGACCACCCACCUGUUGUCGAGUCCCCGCUGGCCUGUCUGCUCCCCUGUUUCAGACCCCUCGCCUGCCCGACUACCCGCACGCCGACGGUACCCCCAGUCCGCCUGAUUGCCUGCCGGUUCCCGAACUCCUGCCUGUCUCCGUUUACUCUGCCUGCCCGACCCUGAUCAUCUGUGCGACCAAUAAAACCUUUGGACUGCCCUGUCACCAUUGUCAGUCUGUGCACUUGGGUUCUCCCCCCCCCCCCCCGUUACAGUGUGUGUAAUCUCACACACACACACACACACACGGCUCUCGCACGGUCGUAGCUCAUUGUCUCUUUGGCGGGCCACAUUCUCGGCGGGCAGAGAAAGGAGAGGUAACUUUGCCCCUUAUGACGACAUAUGGGGUCACAUUCCAAAUCAGCGUGCCUGAGCUUCCAUUCUCUCAAAGGCGAGCAGGAUAUCUAGUGCCCGUUUUCCACUGAACGCAAGUUUUAGUCACUGGGGGACGAUAGGCAGGCCAGGGGAAGUGAAAUGCUAAAUGCAUGCUGUCUUUGUAUUUUCUGUGUCAUGCCAGAUUACUAAAAUAUUUGAAUGUCUCAUCAAUCUGUCUCGUUCUUUAACGGUUCGUUCUCACGCACGCGACCCGGGACCCCCACCUUGGUGGAUCUUGAUCGAUUCUUGAGUGGGGUUGGCCAUCUUCACAAUAGUGUUAAGCCACUGUUAACCCAAAAAAAAUCUAAUAUGCCCAGCAAAAAGUUUCUAUGUUGUGUUGAUUGAUGACUGACUUGCACGAUCGUUUGAGAAUGAGAACGAGGGAGGAGCUGAGUCUGACUGACUCAGCUGAAAACCGUGCAUUCCAUGAUUCGAUUCACCGCUACCGGAAACGCGACUGAACGAACGAAAGAUUCGAAACAAUUCUUCUUGGCGAACUGACCGACGAUUUUUGUCUAAUUAGUUUUUGUUUGAUUAGAUUUGUAUUACUUUUGUAGCAUCCUCCGAGGUGAAACCUGUCUUGGUAAAUAUAAUUACUAUCUGUAAAUUCAAAAGUAUUUUCUGCUCAAUCUACAAGGAUUAACAACUGCUGUUGGAGAUCGUUUUCGUAGGUGUGGACAUGCCGUUAAGUCUGACAACCGUGUUCUCUUCUGCUCUCUUUAAAAUAAGACCUGUUUCUAGAUGACUGUUACCUUCAGGUGUUUUUUGCCUAUGCUGCUGCUUUGUGCAACCUGCCUGGCCCAAAGCACCCUGCAGGGUAAUAAUGCCUGUCAUUUGUCCUGACAGCUGACAGCCCUGCCUGCUCCCACACAUCUCUCUCCUGAACAACGCUCCACACCACUAAACACACUUUGACUUUGAUGCACAGAAAUAACAAGCUGGCAAGGGUUCAAGACGAUUGGAGAGGUCAAAGUACACAUAAACCAUGGACCUUUGGUUUCACAAACAACAAUUGAGAUUAUCAGGAUGCCUUGUUGUUAAAUGAGUCCAAAUAAAAUUAAGUGGCGAUUUAGUGGGGCACCCAGAGGCACCUCUCUGCACUGAUCACAUUAUUGGAUGAAUAGAGAUCUUCCAUGGGCAUCUGUGAAGACAUAUUACCCUGAUACAGUUUCCAGAUGAAAUAAAUCCUUAUAGUCAGUGGGUUGUGCCUAACAUUUUUUAUCUUUCCUGCACUUGCUGCCCUGUCCCCUGACUGCAUGACUUGGGCUUUAUAGGCGACCGAGUUGAGUAUGCAUCAUUUGUACGGACAAUGCAUAAAAUACACCAGUAAACGACUAUCCUCAUUUGACUUAAUCCAAUUAAUCUACUUUAAUUGACUCAGUGGUCCUGUGAAAGAAGACUACUAAGCUUGGUUUCUUUGCUUCCUCUGCAAGGGACGGCACGUGUACCUGCUGACAAACCCUCCUGGAACACAGAACACAGGCAAAUUGUCUUUGACACAUUGAAUGCAUUUAUUUUAAUUUGUUUUUCAAACUAUCCAAGGUUUAAACUCUUUGACAAUGAACCAGGAGGAGCCAUCAGUGCAUACUAGACUUCAUUAAGCAAUAUGUGGUUACAUGCAUGUUAUGUUUCAACAUUGUUGUAUACACAGUAUAGGACAGUAAGAAUAACAAAUAGAACAUUCAACAUAUCAUGUGAUGAUUGGCAUUUUUUCCAUUGGCUAUGUGUUGACAAACUAUAUUCCAAACGGAAUAACAUACAGUCAGAACUUCAGUGUUUCUCCAUAAUACCACUAGCUUUGCCCUUGGUAGAGCAAGGUUGUAUAUUUGUAAUACACUGAUCACGCUGGUAAUAAUGCAAUAAUGAAUUUUAGGCUAACAGUACAUCCCAAAAACUAUGGUUGGACAAUUUUGAACUCUCCAGCAUACAAACAUGGUAGCAGAAGCAUGCACAUACAACAAACUUAACUGUAGAAAUAUACCAUUCAUUAGCAUGUUGUUACAUUCACUUUUAGGCCAGAAGCACUUAAAAAACCUAACCCCCCUCAGCAAACGGUAUUCUUGGCCCUACAUCUCAUACACUUUUGUUUAAUUGUAAAAAUAAAUAGCUUAUAUCAGCCCCACUACUGACACUGUGGGUUCCCCAGACACAGAACACUAAAUGUAUUUAAGUUCACCAUUGACAUGUUUCUUUGUAACACUAUAAGACAGACUGAAUGAAGAGGUAUCAGGGUAGCGUAAUAUAGAAUGUGGAUGCAACAGUGGAAGAUAAUACAUCCCCAUAAGCAGCUAGAAACUAUUCUGGUCUUGCCUGUGCAGAGGGUAACAUUGAGAAUGUAACAGUUUCAGGCCUGGACAUACAGUAUAUAUAUAUAUAUAUAUAUAUAUAUAUAUAUAUAUAUAUAUAUAUAUAUAUAUAUAUAUAUAUAUAUAUAUAUAUAUAUAUAUACAUAUAUAUAUAUAUAUAUAUAUAUAUAUAUACACACACAUAUAUAUACAUAGUAUAUGUAUUGUUGAAGCAGAGGGAAGGACCUCCUCCAUUUACAUUAAAGCUUAUUUCCCCAUAUAACAGUCCAAUAUGUUCCUCUACUAACAUUAUCUGCCAUUCACAAAGAGUAGCGUGCAGAAGGCCUAUUGAACCGACUCAUUGAGUCAUGUGACCUGAUGGUUCCUGAGUAGAUCCUGGGUUUGAGAAUAUGAAGAUCAAGUUUACCUUGUGUGCUGCUACCAUAACACACUGUAACAACCUGCCCUCUUUGAGGAUUCCCAGAGGCCAAGACACUUGAAGCGGGACCCCCCCCCCCCCCCCCCCCCCCUUAUAACAACUUUGUUGUUGGCCAUGCAUCCACCUGCCCGCCAGUACACAUCAUCAUAUUGACUUAAGUCAAUCUAUGCCUAAAAAGGGUCACUGCACAUUUCUAAUGAAGGAUUUUAAGAGGGCACAGGUAUGAAGAGUGUCAUGGCAAUGUUUUAGCGUCAGUAUUAGGUUACAUGCCUAGAGGCAGCUGUCGCCGGGGCCAUCCAAACCCUAGCCUCAUGCAAAUUCUGUGCAUUGUCAUUCAUUCUAUCAGCAGUAGGAUAAACAGUAUCCUGGUUUCUCCAAGCCUUCCUAAUUUCUUUCUUUUAAACAGUACUAAGUCAGGAUUAAUGAGCGUCCAACCAGGACCCCGUUGCUACAAGGUUUAAUGAAACCUUCC
This 4866-nucleotide long non-coding RNA is filed under the name Gadus morhua (Atlantic cod). RNAcentral's name for it is "lncRNA (ENSGMOG00000024267.1)". The record is from RNAcentral. Lineage: Eukaryota; Metazoa; Chordata; Actinopteri; Gadiformes; Gadidae.